ACUCCUCGCUCCGCUCCUUCCUCCGCGGGAAGGGCAGGCCCCGGAGGCAGCGAGCGCCCCGGGGGUGGCCGGGCAGCCGGAUGCUCCCGGGGUUGCGGGCUGUGGCCCCGGGGGCUGAGGGCGGCGCGGGUGCGGCGGAAGCAGGGAAGCCGCGAACCGGCCUUCUGGCUGGCCACAGCGCCCUGCACGGACGAUCAGUGAAUGGAGAUUACUCAAGUAUUUAUCGAGAACUUGCAGUGGGCUAGGCACAGUUCAGGUCCACAGUUAUUUCACUUCUAAAUAAAUAUGGUUUUUUAAAAGUGGCACGCGGUGGAAUGUAAUUGAGACAGGAUGGAGUUCCUAGAGAAAUUUUACUUCCUCAAUCUGCACUCCACCUUACUUAAAAUACAGUCUUGGGUCUGUAAUUCCCUUAUCUGACUCUCAAGGAAAUGACAAAGUAAUGCCUAGAUUGGACUAAACCUCAUUUAACUUCAAGGCUGACCUUUCUCAAAGUUGAACCUUCGUCUUGUGAGGAACAGAAAGAUCAAGAACUCUGAAGCACCUCGACUUUCCACCUGUGAAGAUGUGUUCAAAUUUGCAACGUGCGGCCACACCUAUGAGGUCACUCCCUCUGGAGGAAACCAGCUGCCACUUUGUGAGGAUACUCAUAGUCCUGUGGAGGCAUAUCCUCCAUAUGGCUGAGACCUCCUGCGAACAACCAUCACUGACUUGCCAGACAUGAGUGUGCCACCUUGGAAGCAGAUUUUCCAGCCC
Molecule: long non-coding RNA, 753 nt
Filed under: Homo sapiens (human)
Lineage: Eukaryota; Metazoa; Chordata; Mammalia; Primates; Hominidae
Description: non-protein coding TRAM2-AS1:29
Source: RNAcentral